This 433-nucleotide ribosomal RNA is filed under the name uncultured bacterium. RNAcentral's name for it is "partial 16S ribosomal RNA". It matches the Rfam family "Bacterial small subunit ribosomal RNA", at positions 29 to 507 of the family's 1533-position model. The record is from RNAcentral.
AACGAACGCUGGCGGCAUGCCUAACACAUGCAAGUCGAACGAGACCUUCGGGUCUAGUGGCGCACGGGUGCGUAACGCGUGGGAACCUGCCCUUAGGUUCGGAAUAACUCCCCGAAAGGGGUGCUAAUACCGGAUAAUGUCUUCGGACCAAAGAUUUAUCGCCUUUGGAUGGGGCCGCGUUGGAUUAGCUAGUUGGUAGGGUAACAGCCUACCAAGGCGACGAUGCAUAGCUGGUCUGAGAGGAUGAUCAGCCACGCUGGGGCUGAGACACGGCCCAGACUGCUACGGGAAGGAGCAGUGGGGAAUAUUGGACACUGGGCGAAAACCUGAUACAGCAGUGCCGCGGGAGUGAUGAAGGCCUUAGGGUUGUAAAGCUCUUUUAGCCGGGAUGAUAAUGACAGUACCGGGAGAAUAAGCUCCGGCUAACUACGUG